Molecule: long non-coding RNA, 1138 nt
Filed under: Monodelphis domestica (gray short-tailed opossum)
Lineage: Eukaryota; Metazoa; Chordata; Mammalia; Didelphimorphia; Didelphidae
Description: lncRNA (ENSMODG00000043451.1)
Source: RNAcentral
CCUUGUCCCAUUGGAACUUGAGCACUCUGGACAAGUCAAAUCUUAUGUACCUUUUUGUCUUCUUGGUUUCUCCUGACCUAUCUAGGUGGCUCUCCGGUACCCCAGCCCCUGCUAUGGAAUGGAGGCCUCUCUUAGUCAUAUGAGAGUGUGAGUAGUGCAGGUCCCAUGUGAGUGACAGGGCAUAAGUCCUCUCCCUUCAUUCUGGAGUUCAGUGGAAGUCACAGCUUAGUUUUUCUGUCUCAGUUAAAGGCCAUCAUCAUACCUGCUUUUAAAUUUUUUUUUUCAGAUUGACCCCUGUUUACACUCAAGGAUUUCUUUUGUUCUCUUCUACUCGUCAUAACAGUGGUCACAUAAUGGAACCAAUAAAAAUCUGGUUUGGGAUGGGUCAGAAUGCAAUACUAAGAUUUGGAUAGGUGAUGGACACAAGACUGCUCUUUAUAUCAACUGGUUUCUGUCCUACUUUUUUAGAGGCUGCAGUAUUCUAUCUGGCCAGAAGACGCCAGUGAAUGGAUGUCCUGACUUCCUACCUGGCAAUGAAGUGGUCAAGAAAUGUUUAUCAAGCACCUACUAUGUGUUUGGAUCGUCAGUCCGUUUAGCCAAGGAGAGAUUUUCCCAGUCACCAUCCAUCAAGAAAUCCCAUAGUAUGGAAUUAACUUUAGAAUGUUAUAUUUUGGUGAAAUUGGUGGAAUUCACAUACCUCCCGUCUCUGGGCCUGGCUCUCAAUCCACUGAGACACCCACUUGCAGACAUUUUUCAUCAUCUUUCUUACUUAAGAGUUGAUAUUAUAGUCAUUGGUAUCUGCCAUAAACCAAUUUUUUUAGGAAAAUUCUUUUCAAUCUUUCAUUUCAUCAAAAGGCAAAGCUGAGAUAAGGGAACUUAUGCAAUGAGCAUCAUGUACCCAAGAAGUUAAAAGGCCAUGUUCAAUCUAAAAAGCAUCACUUGAAUGAAAUUACUAGAUGAAAUUCAACAUUGUUAGGAAAUCAUGUUUCUUUUAAUUUAGGCCCUUGUUUGUUUUAACUCCUUUCAAACACUCCCCAAUAUUAAUUAGUAAUUAAGGAGUUAGUUUAGAAGAUUUAUAAAACGUUGUUAGGGUUUUAGUCUCUGAUUUUCGAAUAAAGUUAGUUAUUCCCUGAUCCCA